This 406-nucleotide ribosomal RNA is filed under the name uncultured bacterium. RNAcentral's name for it is "partial 16S ribosomal RNA". It matches the Rfam family "Bacterial small subunit ribosomal RNA", at positions 29 to 526 of the family's 1533-position model. The record is from RNAcentral.
AUUGAACGCUGGCGGCAGGCCUAACACAUGCAAGUCGAGCGAGCGGCGGACGGGUGAGUAAUGCCUAGGAAUCUGCCUGGUAGUGGGGGAUAACGUCCGGAAACGGGCGCUAAUACCGCAUACCAUCAGAUGUGCCCAGAUGGGAUUAGCGAGUAGGUGGGGUAACGGCUCACCUAGGCGACGAUCCCUAGCUGGGCUGAGAGGAUGACCAGCCAAACUGGAACAGGUACACGGGCCCGACUCAUAAGGGAGGCAGCAGUGGGGAAUAGUGCACAAUGGGCGCAAGCCUGAUGCAGCCAUGCCGAGUGUGUGAAGAAGGCCUUCGGGUUGUAAAGCACUUUCAGCGGGGAGGCGUUACCCGCAGAAGAAGCACCGGCUAACUCCGUGCCAGCAGCCGCGGUAAUUC